GGCCAAGUUUUUAAGGGCGCACGGUGGAUGCCUUGGCACCAGGAACCGAUGAAGGACGUGGGAGGCCACGAUAGUCCCCGGGGAGUCGUCAACCAGGCUUUGAUCCGGGGGUUUCCGAAUGGGGAAACCCGGCAGUCGUCAUGGGCUGUCACCCUUGCCUGAACACAUAGGGCAAGUGGAGGGAACGCGGGGAAGUGAAACAUCUCAGUACCCGCAGGAAGAGAAAACAACCGUGAUUCCGGGAGUAGUGGCGAGCGAAACCGGAUGAGGCCAAACCGUAUGCGUGUGAGACCCGGCAGGGGUUGCGUAUACGGGGUUGUGGGAUCUCUCUUUCACAGUCUGCCGGCUGUGAGACGAGUCAGAAACCGUUGAUGUAGGCGAAGGACAUGCGAAAGGUCCGGCGUAGAGGGUAAGACCCCCGUAGUCGAAACGUCAACGGCUCGUUUGAGAGACACCCAAGUAGCACGGGGCCCGAGAAAUCCCGUGUGAAUCUGGCGGGACCACCCGCUAAGCCUAAAUAUUCCCUGGUGACCGAUAGCGGAUAGUACCGUGAGGGAAUGGUGAAAAGUACCGCGGGAGCGGAGUGAAAUAGUACCUGAAACCGUGUGCCUACAAGCCGUGGGAGCGUCGCGUUGCAUGCUUGCAUGCAACGUCGUGACUGCGUGCCUUUUGAAGAAUGAGCCUGCGAGUUUGCGGUGUGUUGCGAGGUUAACCCGUGUGGGGAAGCCGUAGCGAAAGCGAGUCCGAAUAGGGCGAUUCAGUAGCGCGCUCAAGACCCGAAGCGGAGUGAUCUAGCCAUGGGCAGGUUGAAGCGGAGGUAAGACUUCGUGGAGGACCGAACCCACCAGGGUUGAAAACCUGGGGGAUGACCUGUGGUUAGGGGUGAAAGGCCAAUCAAACUCCGUGAUAGCUGGUUCUCCCCGAAAUGCAUUUAGGUGCAGCGUCGUGUGUUUCUUGCCGGAGGUAGAGCACUGGAUAGGCGAUGGGCCCUACCGGGUUACUGACCUUAGCCAAACUCCGAAUGCCGGUAAGUGAGAGCACGGCAGUGAGACUGUGGGGGAUAAGCUCCAUGGUCGAGAGGGAAACAGCCCAGAGCAUCGACUAAGGCCCCUAAGCGUACGCUAAGUGGGAAAGGAUGUGGAGUCGCAGAGACAACCAGGAGGUUGGCUUAGAAGCAGCCACCCUUGAAAGAGUGCGUAAUAGCUCACUGGUCUAGUGAUUCCGCGCCGACAAUGUAGCGGGGCUCAAGCGUACCGCCGAAGUCGUGUCAUUCCAGCAAUAGCCCCAACGGGUGCUGGGAUGGGUAGGGGAGCGUCGUGUGCCGGGUGAAGCUGCAGCGGAAGCUAGUGGUGGACGGUUCACGAGUGAGAAUGCAGGCAUGAGUAGCGAUACACACGUGAGAAACGUGUGCGCCGAUUGACUAAGGGUUCCUGGGUCAAGCUGAUCUGCCCAGGGUAAGUCGGGACCUAAGGCGAGGCCGACAGGCGUAGUCGAUGGAUAACCGGUUGAUAUUCCGGUACCCGCUGUGAAGCGUCAAACAUCGAGCAUCGUGAUGCUAAGGCCGUGAAGCCGUUCCGGACCCUUCGGGGAAUGGAAAGUGGUGGAGCCGCCGGCCCAAGCGGUUAGUAGGUGAGUGAUGGGGUGACGCAGGAAGGUAGUCCAUCCCGGGCGGUGGUUGUCCCGGGGUAAGGGUGUAGGACGUGGUCUAGGCAAAUCCGGAUCACACAUAGUCUGAGACCUGAUGCCGAGCCGAUUGUGGUGAAGUGGAUGAUCCUAUGCUGUCGAGAAAAGCCUCUAGCGAGUUUCAUGGCGGCCCGUACCCUAAACCGACUCAGGUGGUCAGGUAGAGAAUACCGAGGCGUUCGGGUGAACUAUGGUUAAGGAACUCGGCAAAAUGCCCCCGUAACUUCGGGAGAAGGGGGGCCAUCACUGGUGAGGAGACUUGCUCUCCGAGCUGGGGGUGGCCGCAGAGACCAGCGAGAAGCGACUGUUUACUAAAAACACAGGUCCGUGCGAAGCCGUAAGGCGAUGUAUACGGACUGACGCCUGCCCGGUGCUGGAACGUUAAGGGGACCGGUUAGUCACUCUUCGGGGUGGCGAAGCUGAGAACUUAAGCGCCAGUAAACGGCGGUGGUAACUAUAACCAUCCUAAGGUAGCGAAAUUCCUUGUCGGGUAAGUUCCGACCUGCACGAAUGGCGUAACGACUUCUCGACUGUCUCAACCAUAGGCCCGGUGAAAUUGCACUACGAGUAAAGAUGCUCGUUUCGCGCAGCAGGACGGAAAGACCCCGGGACCUUUACUACAGUUUGAUAUUGGUGUUCGGUUCGGCUUGUGUAGGAUAGCUGGGAGACUGUGAACUCUGGACGCCAGUUCAGGGGGAGUCGUCGUUGAAAUACCAGUCUGGUCGUGCUGGAUGUCUAACCUGGGUCCGUGAUCCGGAUCAGGGACAGUGUCUGAUGGGUAGUUUAACUGGGGCGGUUGCCUCCUAAAGAGUAACGGAGGCGCCCAAAGGUUCCCUCAGCCUGGUUGGCAAUCAGGUGUUGAGUGUAAGUGCACAAGGGAGCUUGACUGUGAGACCGACGGGUCGAGCAGGGACGAAAGUCGGGACUAGUGAUCCGGCGGUGGCUUGUGGAAGCGCCGUCGCUCAACGGAUAAAAGGUACCCCGGGGAUAACAGGCUGAUCUUCCCCAAGAGUCCAUAUCGACGGGAUGGUUUGGCACCUCGAUGUCGGCUCGUCGCAUCCUGGGGCUGGAGUCGGUCCCAAGGGUUGGGCUGUUCGCCCAUUAAAGCGGUACGCGAGCUGGGUUUAGAACGUCGUGAGACAGUUCGGUCCCUAUCCGCUGCGCGCGCAGGAACAUUGAGAAGGGCUGUCCCUAGUACGAGAGGACCGGGACGGACGAACCUCUGGUGUGCCAGUUGUUCUGCCAAGGGCAUGGCUGGUUGGCUACGUUCGGGAGGGAUAACCGCUGAAAGCAUCUAAGCGGGAAGCCUGCUUCGAGAUGAGUGUUCCCACCCCCUUGAGGGGUUAAGGCUCCCAGUAGACGACUGGGUUGAUAGGCCGGAUCUGGAAGCCCAGUAAUGGGUGGAGGUGACCGGUACUAAUAGGCCGAGGGCUUGUCCUC
This 3123-nucleotide ribosomal RNA is filed under the name Streptomyces sp. AD2-2. RNAcentral describes it as "23S ribosomal RNA". It matches the Rfam family "Bacterial large subunit ribosomal RNA". The record is from RNAcentral. Lineage: Bacteria; Bacillati; Actinomycetota; Actinomycetes; Kitasatosporales; Streptomycetaceae.